This 629-nucleotide long non-coding RNA is filed under the name Phasianus colchicus (ring-necked pheasant). RNAcentral's name for it is "lncRNA (ENSPCLG00000005391.1)". The record is from RNAcentral. Lineage: Eukaryota; Metazoa; Chordata; Aves; Galliformes; Phasianidae.
ACUGACUACCUUCCCUUGAGAUAAACUACACACCAGCUCUAGCAGAUGGGAGUGAAGCAGCAUAGAGCAUCCUUGGGACCUUCCCAUGCUGCAUCCCCAGUUGCACUACUCCAGAGGCAUGAAAAAACAAGGGAGAUCAGGAUAAAGGGUAUAAAGGAAAACCCCAAUAUUUAUCUUCCACCUCCCCGUGAUCUGCAUUGGACCACGUGAGGAUGCUGAGAGACAUCACUGCUGCCUGUGGGCACAAGCAGGGCUGAGGAUGCAGCUGUAUCAUAGCACACAUCACCAACAUUGGGUACACCAACAGGACCUGAGGUCAGGUGUAAAACCAACACUGCAGUCCGACAUGGGAUAACCCACCUUUCAUCCAGCCCUCUAAGAAAGGAAGACUGGCUUACACCCAGCAACCCGAGAUUAAAUGUCAUUUAAUAGUUUGCCUUGUUUUCCUUACUGACAGAUAUCUGUAUUGGUGCCAGGGCAUUUUCCAUUUCUAUUUCAGGGUCACCACGUAACAACCCACUGUUUGAUUUUUUUGGGAAACCUGGCAGUUUCGGUGUGAAGGACAGAAGAAAUGUUUGCUUGCCGGAGUCUGGUGGGUGACAGUGUGGGCUUUAAGCAGGAUAAAAAUA